CCUGUGGAGUGUUAUAGCAAACGAAAGUAGCCGCGGCGAAAUCGGACACGCUGAAGCAGGAA
This 62-nucleotide non-coding RNA is filed under the name unclassified sequences. RNAcentral describes it as "RAGATH-18 RNA". It matches the Rfam family "RAGATH-18 RNA". From Rfam's summary of the family: Actinobacteria, Firmicutes, Fusobacteria, Thermotogae (1 example). Nearby to self-cleaving ribozyme genes The record is from Rfam by way of RNAcentral.